Molecule: long non-coding RNA, 997 nt
Filed under: Mus caroli (Ryukyu mouse)
Lineage: Eukaryota; Metazoa; Chordata; Mammalia; Rodentia; Muridae
Description: lncRNA (MGP_CAROLIEiJ_G0005198.1)
Source: RNAcentral
GCUGGUCCUCCCGGGUCGGGAGAGCUUCGUUAGUGCCGGCGGCGGUUGUAGAGGUGAGGACUGGAGACUGGCUCCCCCGACUGGGGGGAGGAGGGCGGGAGCCCUUGGAACACGAUCGAGGGUCUCUGCGGACUGUGUACCCCAGAGGGAUACACAGAAGAGGGAAGAUCAAGAGAAGACAAGAGGAGUCUUCAGGGCCAUCCAUAAGAAAACAGCUUUUCGGAGGAAGCCGACACGCAGACCCAGGGAAGGAACCUUGCAGAUGAGUGGGGAUCGUCACAUGCAAGAAGGACAAGAAAAGAUUUUUUUUUUUUUCCCCAGAGCUGAGGACCGAACCCAGGGCCUUGCGCUUGCUAGGCAAGCGCUCUACCACUGAGUUAAAUCCCCAACCCCAAGAAAAGAUUAUUAAGCCUAAAAUAGACAUCCAAAAUUUUAAAUGAUCAGAUGACAAACUCAAAAGAGCAGAUGGUGAAGAGAGCCCUCAAAGACAGGUGAUAGAGGAACAUUAAGGCCAGAGGACUAUGGCUAGUUGUGUGUUAGUGGGAACUGACAAUUGCUGAAAAUACAGACAUGUUUCACUAUAUUCGCUACACUCAAUUUAUGAAAUCAACUUAAGGAAAAUAUUCCAUGUAUCAUGAAAUAAGAGAAUGAUCCAGCGGGGAUUUUUUUUUUCAGAGCAGGAUCUUAAGAAUUCUUACCCUUCUUGCCUCAGACUUCCAAGUAAUGAGAUUACAUGUGUUCACCCCACACCCAGGUCUUUUUUGGCUGGCCUCUGUGGAGGAUCUGAAGAUUGAUCAGAACAUUCUCUUUCUUGUCCUCCAGAUUAACUUUAAUUCUUGGUGAGGGAUGCACACGUGGAGGUACAUGGGUGGCAGUCAGAAGGGAGACUUUCAGGAGUCAGUUCUCUUCUAUCAGCAUGUGUCUCCCAGGGAUGGGGCUCAGGCCUGCAGGCUGGGGUGGCUAGUGUGGAUUACUAAAAUAAACAUGAUAGGCUGCG